Long non-coding RNA from Hydra vulgaris (swiftwater hydra), 1038 nucleotides. RefSeq lists it as uncharacterized. The record is from RefSeq and is a predicted model, not a curated record. Lineage: Eukaryota; Metazoa; Cnidaria; Hydrozoa; Anthoathecata; Hydridae.
CUCCUGUGAUUUUCCCCAUAAUAACUUUAGAUAAUGUAGUACCACCUGUUUUGCAUAUUAUGUUAGGAGUUGUGUUAAAACUGUAUAAGUUAUUGUUGAAGGAGUGUAAGACUUUAGAUUGUCAAUCUGUUUCGUCUUUGUCGCAUAAUGAGAAUAUGAGAACGAAUGAAUUGUGGGCUGCUAAAAGCGUUGAAUGUUCUAAAACAGCAGAAGCUUUACGUUUAUUAGGAAAUCAAUUUGUAGACAUUGCAAAUCUACAGGCGCGUUGGUUAGCUUUUAAUAAAAAUAUUUCUGAAUUAUCUCUAAACUCCUCCAAUAAAAAAAUAACCUGUAAACAGCAAGAAAUAUGCAAUAAAAGCCUCUAAGGUGAGAAAGUGUGUUGUGUGUUCUGAGCGUGGCGAAAAUUCAUUUUAUAGACAAGGUCUUUGUCUUGUUUGUGGUCAUCAAAUUUAGUUUAAAUAUUUAAAAAAUUAAAAACAAAAAAAAAACUAUUUACAAGUAAGAUAAAUUAUAUGAGAUCUUUAAUUUGUAUAUAAGAUAAUUUUGUUCUGUUCUAAUAUCUGUGUAAUGUUAGUUUAAAAUAUUAUUUUUUAAUAUAUUGAUUUUAUAUAUUAGAUAGGUGCCCAUUCUGUUCCUAUCUUCAGAAGUUAUUUAUACCUAUGCAAUACCUUCGCUCAGGUUAAAGAAUGAAAUACUAGUCUUGCAUCAAAUAUAUAUUACAUAUCCAUUCGAUGUUUAUCAUCAGAAGUUAGUUCUACCUUUGCAGUACCUCUGCUCUACAUACCUCCUCGCUGGUUUAAGAAUGGAAUAUAAAUCUCAUAUCAAGUUGGUGUAAAAAUUUAGUUCAAUAAAUUAAGAAUUUGUAAACGUUAUCAAAAUUUUGAGUGGAGCAAUUGUUUUUCUGGUUUAGCAUGAGUAUGAAUCUGAUAUCAAUUGGAUGAACAAUGAUAGUUUACUACUUAAAGAACCUAUCAGUAAACCAACUGAUUAUAAAACAGUUUUUAAUGGGAAUAAAAAGAAAUUUUCAAAAGAUUUCAA